CCUGCUCAAUGACCCUAAAUAGCCGCUAUAAGUGCUAAGGUAGCAUAAUAAAUUGCCUCUUAAUUUGAGGAUAGAAUGAAAGGAUCUACGAUUCAUAAAUUAUAUAAGAAUAUUAAAAUUAAAUUAUUUAUAUAUGUAAAAAUACAAUUUCAUUUUAGGAGGACGACAAGACCCUAUCGAACUUAACUUUUAGUUAUACUGGGGCGGUCUAAAACAAUAUCUUUUUUACUCUCUCAAUCAACGCUUUUAUAAGAAUUAAAUCAAGUUACCGUAGGGAUAACAGCAUAAUAGUUUUCCAAAGCUCUAAUACAAUAAACUGCUUAUGACCUCGAUGUUGAAUUUAAUAAAUCUAUUUACUGAAAAAAGUAAAAAAGAAAGUCUGUUCGACUUAUAAAUCAUUACAU
This 404-nucleotide ribosomal RNA is filed under the name Speocera payakumbuh. RNAcentral describes it as "partial large subunit ribosomal RNA". It matches the Rfam family "Archaeal large subunit ribosomal RNA", at positions 1950 to 2670 of the family's 2987-position model. Lineage: Eukaryota; Metazoa; Arthropoda; Arachnida; Araneae; Ochyroceratidae. The record is from RNAcentral.